Long non-coding RNA from Balaenoptera ricei (Rice's whale), 1293 nucleotides. RefSeq lists it as uncharacterized. The record is from RefSeq and is a predicted model, not a curated record. The transcript has 2 exons. Lineage: Eukaryota; Metazoa; Chordata; Mammalia; Artiodactyla; Balaenopteridae.
GGAGCCCUGUGCCCACAGGACAGAGCUGCCCUUGUGGGAGUAGGCCGGGGUGCCACCCGCCCUCGGCUGUGAGUGGGAGCUCUCAGUGGGCCGCUUCUGCAGGCUCAGCGUUCCCUCUCAGCCCCCGCCGGCCUGCAGCCUCCACCCGCUCCGUGCCCUCCCACUCCCCGGUGCCCCGGGCUGAUUGGAGGAAAGGAAACAAAACAAAACAAAACAAAGACUUGGCCAGAUUUCAGGCCUCAGUGCUGUUUGAUACCGAAUUACCCCGAAAACAGGCUCAAGUCAGAUUCCCUCUCCUGUCCCCGCAGGGAGCACGAGGGAAGGGAUGGCUCUGUGCCCUCCGUCCCUGCCCUGCGCCCGGUCUCUUCCCUGUGACCACAGGACUCCCAGCGCUGGGCCCUGUGGGCGCAGAGAGCCGGGGAGGAGGAGGCCUGGUGCUGGUGCUGAGGAAGGGCAGAGCCACGGGCGCGUUCGUCGGAGCAGGGCGACUCUUCGGGCUCCUCGCCAGUGCCCGGCAGGCCAGAGGGCCUGGGAGACUCGGGGGGGCGUAGAGGAAGAACACAGCCAGCCCACAAAGCAACGGAGAGGGCUCCCUGGGAGAGGGCGGCCGGCAUGAGUCAGCUCCUGGAAGGAGCCCCUCUCCAUAGCUGCGCCACCGCCGUGAGGAACUUCUACUUACUGACCACAGAGGAAUCGAUGCCUGCUCACCCUGGGAAUGGAAGCUCCACUAUCGCUGCAGCAACUCACCCAUCUCAUGGGAGCACUUCCUUGCCCACCCAUCACACGGGAGCACCGCUGGCUCACUGAUCGUGCAGGGGCACCAUCUUGUUCAGCGAUGGUGUUGGAGCUGCCUUUCCUCAGCGAGAAUCAGGAUUCAUCAGUCCUGGCAGCUCUGGUCUCUGCAUACUGGUUGCUGGGAAGGUUUUGAAAGACUCUUUGGUGGGAAGACUUCCUGAUCCGAGUCCAAACUGAAAAUGGAUACUCCAUUUGCAAAACAGUGACACUUCCAGUGGGGUAUCAUCAAACAUCUCCCAAGCAACAGCAGCCUGGAACAUUAUUGUUUAACCACUUCUUGCUCAACAUUGUGUGGGUUUCACUUACAGAAGGAUCUACGUGGUAAGUGAGGUAGGAGCAGGUCAGCACAAACAGAACUAUAAAUAUCUUGAUAGAGACAGGUGUAUGAAAUCGAACUCGGUGGGGAAAACAGACGUAGAUAAACAGCUGGAUAAGAACACAGGCUUGAACCUACUGAAAUACUAAGAUGAUAUAAAAGAUAAUAUUAAAGAAAAGUUA